GGAGGUAGUGACAAGAAAUACCGAUGCGGGACCCUACGGGUGCCGCGUUCGGAAUGAGUACGAUUCGAACCACCUAACGAGGAACGAUCGGAGGGCAAGUCUGGUGCCAGCAGCCGCGGUAAUUCCAGCUCCAAUAGCGUACGUUAAAGUUGCUGCAGUUAAAAAGCUCGUAGUUGAACGUUCGGGGUUCCGCGGGACGGGGCCGCCCCGCGAGGGACGGCGCCGCCCCGGGGCUCGUGAUAUCUCAUCUCGCCGCCCGUCGCGAGGCGGACGGAGGGAUGGAUGAGGUUACCUGGAAAAAAUCGGGGCGAUCUAGGCGGGCGAACCUCGCCAACGAACGAUCGGACAUGGGAUAACGGAAGAGGGCGUCGGCUCGACUUCGUCGGUUCCUCGGGCCGAGGCACGUACGGUGAAUAGGGGACGGUCGGGGGCCGCCCGUACCGGGUCGUGAGAGGUGAAAUUCUAGGAUCGACCCGAGACGAACCGCCGCGAAAGCAUUCGGCAAGGACGCUUUCAUUAAUCAAGAACGAAGUCGGGGGAUCGAAGACGAUCAGAUACCGUCGUAGUCCCGA
RNAcentral lists this ribosomal RNA (572 nucleotides) under uncultured eukaryote. RNAcentral's name for it is "bacterial SSU rRNA". It matches the Rfam family "Eukaryotic small subunit ribosomal RNA", at positions 460 to 1029 of the family's 1831-position model. The record is from RNAcentral.